This 610-nucleotide ribosomal RNA is filed under the name Macrorhynchia philippina. Its description in RNAcentral is "partial 16S ribosomal RNA". It matches the Rfam family "Bacterial large subunit ribosomal RNA", at positions 1808 to 2608 of the family's 2925-position model. The record is from RNAcentral. Lineage: Eukaryota; Metazoa; Cnidaria; Hydrozoa; Leptothecata; Aglaopheniidae.
CAAAAACAUAGCCCUUAAAGAAAAUUAAAGGUGAAACCUGCCCAAUGGUAUAAAAUAAAAUUUAUAAAUUAAAUAAAAAAAACUAAAUGGCUGCAGUAACUAUGACUGUGUGAAUGUAGCAUAAUCACUCGCCACUUAAUUAGUGGAUAGUAUGAAUGGUUAAACGAAAAUUUCUCUGUCUUAUAUGAUAAAAAAAAAAUUUAAAUUAUAGUUAAGAUGCUAUAUAAAAUUGUAAGACGAAAAGACCCUAUAAAGCUUAACUAUAAUCUUUUAUAUGAAUUUGUUAAACAACAAUAUUUUAAAAGACUGGUAGUUUCAUUGGGGCGAUGGUUUCUAAAAAUUAACAGAAAUAAACUAUAUUAAUACUAUAAUUUACUGUUUAACCUAUAAGUUUAACAGUUACUAAGUAGGUUAUAAAGACCCAUUAUUAUCUAUAAGAAGAAAUAAUGAUCAAAAAAUAAAAGCUACUUUAGGGAUAACAGGAUAAUAUUUUCUAAGAGUCCUUAUCGAAGAAAAAGUUUAUCACCUCGAUGUUGAAUUAAGAUAACCUAAUGACGCAGCCGUUAUUAAAGGUAGGUCUGUUCGACCUUUAAAAUCUUACAUGAUUUGA